CACGUAGGGGACGAGCGUUGUUCGGAAUUACUGGGCGUAAAGGGCUCGUAGGCGGCCAACUAAGUCAGACGUGAAAUCCCUCGGCUUAACCGGGGAACUGCGUCUGAUACUGGAUGGCUUGAGAUUGGGAGAGGGAUGCGGAAUUCCAGGUGUAGCGGUGAAAUGCGUAGAUAUCUGGAGGAACACCGGUGGCGAAGGCGGGUCUCUGGGCCGAUACUGACGCUGAGGAGCGAAGGCGUGGGGAGCAAACAGG
This 253-nucleotide ribosomal RNA is filed under the name uncultured bacterium. Its description in RNAcentral is "partial 16S ribosomal RNA". It matches the Rfam family "Bacterial small subunit ribosomal RNA", at positions 524 to 776 of the family's 1533-position model. The record is from RNAcentral.